RNAcentral lists this ribosomal RNA (253 nucleotides) under uncultured bacterium. RNAcentral's name for it is "partial 16S ribosomal RNA". It matches the Rfam family "Bacterial small subunit ribosomal RNA", at positions 524 to 776 of the family's 1533-position model. The record is from RNAcentral.
UACGUAGGGUGCGAGCGUUGUCCGGAAUUAUUGGGCGUAAAGAGCUCGUAGGCGGUUUGUCGCGUCUGCUGUGAAAGUCCGGGGCUCAACUCCGGAUCUGCGGUGGGUACGGGCAGACUAGAGUGCGGUAGGGGAGACUGGAAUUCCUGGUGUAGCGGUGAAAUGCGCAGAUAUCAGGAGGAACACCGGUGGCGAAGGCGGGUCUCUGGGCCGUAACUGACGCUGAGGAGCGAAAGCGUGGGGAGCGAACAGG